Long non-coding RNA from Passer domesticus (house sparrow), 695 nucleotides. RefSeq lists it as uncharacterized. The transcript has 2 exons. NCBI's taxonomy places the organism in Eukaryota, Metazoa, Chordata, Aves, Passeriformes, Passeridae. The record is from RefSeq and is a predicted model, not a curated record.
GGCCCGCAUGAAGACCUUUUACUUCUUCUCAAGUCAUUGUAUGCAGCACGCUGGCAUCACGCAGUGCCUUUGAAAAGGUGCUCUCUGCUGCAGCUGCUUGUCCUUGCUUUUGUGUUUCUUUAGCCUGAAAUCGUGAUUCUUGCCACCCCAUUCACAGGCUUGUAAGAUGUUUCCUUUUAAAUAACAGGCAUACCCUUGAGACAGGCACUGACAGAUGCUUGCUGCUUCCAAGCUCCCUUUUGUGAGCUGCCUUAGAGAACUCAACAACUAAACUGUGACCGGGGCAGCAAGCAACGUGCUUGUGACACAGAGCCAUGACCUCACUGACAAAACGUCCCUCGGGCUUUUCACGAGCCAAUAAAGCUCUAGCUUUUGUUCCCUGGCAUGGGCCUUGUAGUAUGGCACCUCUAAUCUCGCUAAGCUGCCACUGCAAAGAUAAGAGGGAAGGGAGCAAGAAAGGUCCUUUUGAGGGUUAAGCAAUGGGCUCAGGAAUGAGGUGUGUGCCAACCACUGACUGUGAGCAAGGAGAGAUUGAUGGGCCCCACAGGGUCACUCUGGGCAGUCCCACCACCACCCAUCACAGCUCCUGGCUGAAGGGGAUUUCCCAGUAAGCCUCAAGCAGUCAGUGCAAACAGCUCGUGAAGAGCAGGAAGGAACACAGGACUGUGCAUUUAAAUAAACAGCAGCUCAGCGUC